UACGGGUGGGGCAAGCGUUGUUCGGAAUUACUGGGCGUAAAGGGCUCGUAGGUGGCCAACUAAGUCAGACGUGAAAUCCCUCGGCUUAACCGGGGAACUGCGUCUGAUACUGGAUGGCUUGAGUUCGGGAGAGGGAUGCGGAAUUCCAGGUGUAGCGGUGAAAUGCGUAGAUAUCUGGAGGAACACCGGUGGCGAAGGCGGCAUCCUGGACCGACACUGACACUGAGGAGCGAAAGCCAGGGGAGCAAACGGG
RNAcentral lists this ribosomal RNA (253 nucleotides) under uncultured bacterium. RNAcentral's name for it is "partial 16S ribosomal RNA". It matches the Rfam family "Bacterial small subunit ribosomal RNA", at positions 524 to 776 of the family's 1533-position model. The record is from RNAcentral.